RNAcentral lists this ribosomal RNA (374 nucleotides) under uncultured bacterium. Its description in RNAcentral is "bacterial SSU rRNA". It matches the Rfam family "Bacterial small subunit ribosomal RNA", at positions 29 to 422 of the family's 1533-position model. The record is from RNAcentral.
AGCGAACGCUGGCGGCAUGCUUAACACAUGCAAGUCGCACGGGCAGGGGCAACUCUGUCAGUGGCGGACGGGUGAGUAACGCGUAGGUAUCUAUCCUUGGGUGGGGGACAACCGUGGGAAACUACGGCUAAUACCGCAUGAUGACUGAGGUCCAAAGCCCGCGAGGGUGCCUGGGGAGGAGCCUGCGUACGAUUAGCUUGUUGGUGGGGUAAAGGCUUACCAAGGCGAUGAUCGUUAGCUGGUCUGAGAGGAUGAUCAGCCACAUUGGGACUGAGACACGGCCCAAACUCCUACGGGAGGCAGCAGUGGGGAAUAUUGGACAAUGGGCGCAAGCCUGAUCCAGCAAUGCCGCGUGUGUGAAGAAGGUCUUCGGA